CCUCUUCCUCUUCCAUCUUCAUCUUCUUCCCCACAACUCAAACCAGAAAUUCAUGAAUCACGUCAUCAUCUUCUUUUAUCAGUUUCAAACACAGAUCUAAGAAGAUUGGCCCAACCUUUCGAGACUCAACCGAGAAUUGAGAGCCUGCAACGAGAGAUCUAGAAUCGAAGCGAGGAAGAAGAAGAUGCCUCUACCGAUGGGUUUCUGUAUGCAGCGGCGGCAACGCAAGAGCAUGGUGGCGGUGUUCUAGAUCUGGUGUUUUAUCAGGUGUGGAGGUUGAGUAUGGUGCGGUGUGCUCCUGGUUCUGU
Molecule: long non-coding RNA, 308 nt
Filed under: Lotus japonicus
Lineage: Eukaryota; Viridiplantae; Streptophyta; Magnoliopsida; Fabales; Fabaceae
Description: long non-coding RNA (LJAP_LNC001393)
Source: RNAcentral